This 253-nucleotide ribosomal RNA is filed under the name uncultured bacterium. Its description in RNAcentral is "partial 16S ribosomal RNA". It matches the Rfam family "Bacterial small subunit ribosomal RNA", at positions 524 to 776 of the family's 1533-position model. The record is from RNAcentral.
UACAGAGGGUGCAAGCGUUGUCCGGAUUUAUUGGGCGUAAAGAGCGUGUAGGCGGCCUGAAAGGUCAGCUGUGAAAACUCGAGGCUCAACCUCGAGACGUCGGUUGAAACCGUAUGGCUAGAGUCUGGAAGAGGAGAGUGGAAUUCCCGGUGUAGCGGUGAAAUGCGCAGAUAUCGGGAAGAACACCCGUGGCGAAGGCGGCUCUCUGGGACGGUACUGACGCUGAGACGCGAAAGCGUGGGGAGCGAACAGG